RNAcentral lists this ribosomal RNA (433 nucleotides) under uncultured bacterium. RNAcentral's name for it is "partial 16S ribosomal RNA". It matches the Rfam family "Bacterial small subunit ribosomal RNA", at positions 29 to 507 of the family's 1533-position model. The record is from RNAcentral.
AGCGAACGCUGGCGGCAGGCCUAACACAUGCAAGUCGAACGAACUCUUCGGAGUUAGUGGCGGACUGGUGAGUAACACGUGGGAACGUGCCUUGAGGUUCGGAAUGACUCAGGGAAACUUGAGCUAAUACCGGAUGUGCCCUUCGGUGGAAAGAUUUAGCGCCUUUAGAGCGGCCCGCGUCUGAUUAGCUAGUUGGUGAGGUAAAGGCUCACCAAGGCGACGAUCAGUAGCUGGGCUGAGAGGAUGAUCAGCAACAUUGGGACUGAGACACGGCCCAAACUACUACGGGAGGCAGGAGUGGGGAAUCUAGCGAAAUGGGCGAAAGGCUGACGCAGCCAUGCCGCGUGAAUGAUGAAGGUCUUAGGAUUGUAAAAUUAUUUCACCGGGGACGAUAAUGACGGUACCCGGAGAAGAAGCCCCGGCUAACUUCGUG